This 114-nucleotide ribosomal RNA is filed under the name uncultured bacterium. RNAcentral describes it as "partial 16S ribosomal RNA". It matches the Rfam family "Bacterial small subunit ribosomal RNA", at positions 360 to 478 of the family's 1533-position model. The record is from RNAcentral.
AAUAUUGGACAAUGGGCGCAAGCCUGAUCCAGCCAUACCGCGUGUGUGAAGAAGGCUUCGGGUUGUAAAGCACUUUAAGCAGGGAGAAAAAGUUAUAAGUUAAUACUCUAUAAC